This 502-nucleotide ribosomal RNA is filed under the name uncultured Sphingobacteriales bacterium. Its description in RNAcentral is "bacterial SSU rRNA". It matches the Rfam family "Bacterial small subunit ribosomal RNA", at positions 903 to 1382 of the family's 1533-position model. The record is from RNAcentral. Lineage: Bacteria; Pseudomonadati; Bacteroidota; Sphingobacteriia; Sphingobacteriales.
CCUUGCCAGCCCGCUCAGAACUCAAAGGAAUUGACGGGGCCGCACAAGCGGUGGAGCAUGUGGUUUAAUUCGAUGAUACGCGAGGAACCUUACCUGGGCUCAAAUGUAUGUUGACGUAUUCUGAAAGGGAUACUUCUUCGGACAAUAUACAAGGUGCUGCAUGGUUGUCGUCAGCUCGUGCCGUGAGGUGUCGGGUUAAGUCCCAUAACGAGCGCAACCCCUAUCAUUAGUUGCCAUCAGGUCAAGCUGGGGACUCUAAUGAAACUGCCUACGCAAGUAGUGAGGAAGGUGGGGAUGACGUCAAAUCAGCACGGCCCUUACGUCCAGGGCUACACACGUGCUACAAUGGCCGGCACAGCGGGAAGCGGAGGGGCGACCCUGAGCGGAUCCCUUGAAAGCCGGUCCCAGUUCGGAUUGCAGUCUGCAACUCGACUGCAUGAAGUUGGAAUCGCUAAAGUAAUCGCGGAUCAGCCAAGCCGCGGUGAAUACGUUCCCGGGCCUU